Molecule: ribosomal RNA, 497 nt
Filed under: uncultured bacterium
Lineage: Bacteria
Description: partial 16S ribosomal RNA
Rfam family: Bacterial small subunit ribosomal RNA
Source: RNAcentral
GAUGAACGCUGGCGGCGUGCCUAACACAUGCGAGUCGAACGAACAGACCUCUUUCUGGGUGUACUGGUGUGACCGACGGACGGGUGACUAAUGCGUGGCUUACCCUCCUCUUUGACUUGACUAACUUCGGGUAACCCUAGCUACUGCUGGAUACUAUUUCGAACUGCAUGGUUCUAAAGUGUUUCAGCGUUUUGCUGUCACUUAUAGAUGGAUCCGCUUUUCAUUAGCUUGUUGGUAAGGUAACGGCUUACCAAGGCACCGAUGCAUAGCCGACCUGAGAGGGUGAUCGGCCACAGUGGAACUGAGAGGCGGUACAGAGUCCUACGGGAGGCAGAAGUAGGGAAUGUUGCGCAAUGGGCGGAAGCCUGAAGGAGCAACGCCGCGUGGGUGCUGAAGGUCUUCGGGUCGUAAAACUCUGUUCUUAGGGAAGAACAUAUGUGUACGUAACUGUGCACAUCUUGACGGUACCUAAUCAGAAAGCAACGGCUAACUACGUG